UGGGUGUGGUUUAAACUAAUAUAUAAGUGUUUGUUGUAAUGGGUCUUUGCUCUGAAUAAUUCAAUAAUAGGCGAGAUGUCAAGAGCCAUUGUCCAUCAUCAUCAUCCACAGCAGCAGCACCGACAUCAUCUUUGCAAUGCAAUGGGGAAAAAAGAAUUGACGAACUGUUACUGAAAAUUAGAAAAUUAAAGUGGGAUGUUGAAAUGCUGGGUUGUCAGCGGCUCAGCGCCGUAUGAAAAAACUGAUUUUGUAGUGAUGCUUGGACGUAUUCAAACUUUCAUACAGUAGCAGUUAAGGCAAGGAUUAUUUCUUUGUGUGAUGAGACAAUGGCAUAAAUAAGACGAUGAUGGUUAUUCUUGUGUAUCAAUUAAGACAAUUUGUACUUAUGUAAAGUUUGAGUAUUAAAAAAGAAUGUAUAAAGGGUGCUUAUUCAUUUUGCCCUGACAUUCUUCCUUUAGAACCAAUUUGUACGUGGUAUGAUCAAACACGCUUAUUUCUUGUGUAGGAAUUGCGAGCGAGAGGGUUAAAAAAGUUUGGGGAUUGGUGUUUAAUGAACGCUCAAUUUUUAAAACGAGUACACUGUACCUACCGUGAAUAGACGUUCUGCUUGGUAUCGCGCAUUUGGUAAAAAUAGAAAAUUAUCAGCUCGCAUUAUGUCGACUUGCGUAUGCACUCAUUUCAUUGCACAGUGAUAUUCGCCGAUUCGCGAUGUGUUGUGGAAAAUAAUUUUGGUGUUUCUUUGUGAUAAUGAUUAAUUCGAUUAGUAUUCUCACUCGAACUCAGGUUUUCAUCUUGAAGCCGUGGUGCAGCCAAUUCCCGUUCUAAACGCUCCGUCUGGAGUUGGGAAUUUCUUUGUCUGGCCUGGAAAAUUGUCAGCAUCUUCUCCAGACACCCCAUUGAUAACAUCGCCAGCUCUUGGGGUGUGGACGGCUCGUGCCAUCUGGGCGAUUCAUGAGAUGGCGGCGGCGGUGGUGGUGGUGGCGCCUCUUCUUGGUCGAUGGCUGCUGAAGACGGCGGCGAGACGUGUUCAUAAAAUUCUCUUAGUAAUUGCAUAUCUUUUUCCCCCCUAGGCAACGGGGCACUGUAACAAUAAGAGAAACAAUAUUAAAAAUAGAUUAUAUGUAGAAUAAAAGUAACUUACUGAAAGUGA
Long non-coding RNA from Photinus pyralis (common eastern firefly), 1150 nucleotides. RefSeq lists it as uncharacterized. Lineage: Eukaryota; Metazoa; Arthropoda; Insecta; Coleoptera; Lampyridae. The record is from RefSeq and is a predicted model, not a curated record. The transcript is spliced from 2 exons.